GGGGGGGCAGGAAAAGUGAAUUUCUUGGGUUACCCGUUAAAUGCGUAGAUAUCCAGGAGGAACACCGGUGGGUUAAACUGCUUUCUGGACCCAUACUGACGGUGAGGCACGAAAGGGUGGUUAGCAACCAGGAUUAGAUACCCUGGUAGUCCACGCCCUUAAACGAUGCAUACUUGCUGUGAGCCAUUCAUUUGGUUCGUGCCGGAGCUAACGCGUUAAGUAUGCCGCCUGGGGAGUACGGUCGCAAGGCUGAAACUCAAAGAAAUUGACGGGGACCUGCACAAGCGGUGGAGCAUGUGGUUUAAUUCGACGGUAAGCGAGGAACCUUACCAAGGCUUGACAUGUAGUUGCAUCUUCUGGANACAGGAGCGCCUUCGAGGGUGCUACACAGGUGCUGCACGGUUGUCGUCAGCUCGUGCCGUGAGGUGUUCACUUAAGUGUGAAAACGAGCGCAACCCCUACGGUGAGUUACAAGUGUCUCACAGAACUGCCCGCGUUUAAGCGGGAGGAAGGUGGGGAUGACGUCAAAUCAGCGUGGCUCUUACGCCUUGGGCGACACACGUGCUACAAUGGGAAGGACAAAGGGACGCCAAGUCGCAAGACGGAGCAAAUCCCGCCAAUACUUCCCCCAGUUCGGAUUGAGGGCUGCAACUCGCCCUCAUGAAGCCGGAAUCGCUAGUAACCGUAGAUCAGCCUCGCUACGGUGAAUACGUUAUCAGGUUUUGUACGCACCGCCCGUCAAGCCAUGGAAGCGGGAAGCGGCUAAAGUUCCACCUUAGGUGGACCUAAGCCGAAGCUCGUAACUGGGGCUAAGUCGUAACAAGGUAAAUCGAAGUUCCCACGGCC
Molecule: ribosomal RNA, 846 nt
Filed under: uncultured bacterium
Lineage: Bacteria
Description: bacterial SSU rRNA
Rfam family: Bacterial small subunit ribosomal RNA
Source: RNAcentral